This 371-nucleotide ribosomal RNA is filed under the name uncultured organism. RNAcentral's name for it is "bacterial SSU rRNA". It matches the Rfam family "Bacterial small subunit ribosomal RNA", at positions 526 to 896 of the family's 1533-position model. The record is from RNAcentral.
CAGAGACUGCGAGCGUUAUUCGGAUUCACUGGGCGUAAAGGGUGCGCAGGCGGCCAAGUGUGUUAGGCGUGAAAGCCUGGGGCUUAACCUCAGAAUUGCACCUAAAACUACAUGGCUAGAGCAUUGGAGAGGGUAGCGGAAUUCACGGUGUAGCAGUGAAAUGCGUAGAUAUCGUGAGGAACACCAGAGGCGAAGGCGGCUACCUGGACAAUUGCUGACGCUCAGGCACGAAAGCGUGGGGAGCAAAAGGGAUUAGAUACCCCUGUAGUCCACGCCCUAAACGGUGCACACUAGGUCUUGGCGGAUUCGACCCACCAGGGCCCAAGCUAACGCGUUAAGUGUGCCGCCUGAGGAGUACGGCCGCAAGGUUA